Molecule: ribosomal RNA, 301 nt
Filed under: uncultured bacterium
Lineage: Bacteria
Description: partial 16S ribosomal RNA
Rfam family: Bacterial small subunit ribosomal RNA
Source: RNAcentral
CAGCAGCCACGGGAAUACGUAGGGUGCGAGCGUUAAUCGGAAUUACUGGGCGUAAAGCGUGCGCAGGCGGUUGUGUAAGACAGGUGUGAAAUCCCCGGGCUUAACCUGGGAACUGCGCUUGUGACUGCACGGCUAGAGUAUGGCAGAGGGGGGUGGAAUUCCACGUGUAGCAGUGAAAUGCGUAGAGAUGUGGAGGAACACCGAUGGCGAAGGCAGCCCCCUGGGCCAAUACUGACGCUCAUGCACGAAAGCGUGGGGAGCAAACAGGAUUAGAUACCCCUGUAGUCCCUGUCUCUUAUAC